UUGUUUUCUACGUUUAUUUUGCCACUUUUUUAUAAUAUUUCUUGCUUUCUUAACGUCUCUUAGCCGCCGACAACUUAGCCGACCAGCAACAUUGGGAUCGGCUAGCGGCUUUAGAAAAUGUUUGGAAGUGAUGCUUUUCAUUGUGAUUGCGUUCAUAAAAUGCCCUUAUAUUGAUGUGUGAUUUUCAUUUGCUGUGUGGCGCGCUUACUAACGGCGUAGCAUCCAGUCAUCGUGUGACCAAUGUGGGAUCAGUGCUUCACAACCUGUGCUCUAAAGAAUGUGUCACUCCGUCGACAAUGUCAGCACGAACGGGCGCUGGUCUUUGCUGGAAGAUAAACGCUGUCUCAGAAAAAGAAAAUAUAUCAGUACUGACAACGUCAUCUGCCUCGUACUGCUCCCGCAAAACUCUAAACGGUGUUCCUAUUGGUGUUCCAUAAUCGGCAGUCUUCGUUUUGCGUGCUGUCACUUAAAUAGAAUAGUUCGUGCGAUCGUCUGUCGAGCGUAUAGAUCGAACGCCGAGGACGCAAUGCGUCUUCUCGUCACGCAUAUACUUAGCUGCUUAUGUACUGUUCUGCUGCUAGUUGCUGAUGGGUGUAUGCAAACUGUGGUCGCGUGAGAUUGCACUUUACCCCGUGGGCUUCGGUGGCCACAGCCGCGACAGACGGUGCCAAUUAACAACAGGACUUGCUCAACCUGUGGCAAGACGUAUAGCAGUGUGAGCAACCUGCGAAAGCAUGUGCUCAUUCACACUGGAAAGAAGCCGUUUGUGUGCACCUGGUGUGGCCGGAGAUUCCUACACAAGCAUCAUCGUGAUAAGCACCUCCAAACUCUGCAUGCUCGUGAUCGCGAGGCAUUUGAAAAGAGCAGAGCAGAGGUACCAAUUAUGGGGGCACCACUGGCUACAGAAUGAUUGCCCCCCCACCCCCCUUUAUCUGGAGAGACCAACUGGACAAGUGCAGUGUUGCGUGCAAGUCAGUGUUAACUCGGCCGAGCCUAAUUCAUUCACCAAGCUCUUGACACACCCCUUGCAAUCACCUGUGACAGAGCCACACACGUGAUUCUCUUCUAUGCUCUCAAUGAUGUUCCUUGUGAUAGUGCCCUAUGCUCUCGAUGACAUGCCUAUUCUCGUGGUAGUGCCCAGUAGCAGGAAUCUAAGCUACACCUGACAAUAAUAAAUACCUAAAAGCAGUGCAGUAGAGAUAAACUGGCACUUUUGUUGUCAAUGCAUUAUAUUGUGAAACAUGUGAAAAAACAUGCACUAUGAUGAAGGAACUCACACGAACGUGAUAAAUAUGUGCUCCUUUGUCUUAAUGUGGGUUUUGAAAGUCCUACAUAGUGCAAUUACGAUGUCACACUAUCUAGCACCAUUGUUUGCUCUACUGAAUUCAUUAUUUGCAUCUGCAGACAUCAGGAAUUAUGUGACAAUUGCCAGUAAGUCAAUUAAAGUAGCUUUACGAAUCAGUAUAUCAGUAGUAAUUUUAGCACACAUAUGUCAUCUGGAAUUGAAGCUGGCCAGUGCUGAAUGCAUGUCUAUUUACGAUGAGCCCCCAAGACAUUCAUUUCCCACUUGUCUGUUUCCAAAAUGUGUGGCGGGAUACCGCGGUGCCCCACCACACAUUAGCAGCCGUGUCGCAAUAUGAAUGCUUUUGAAGAAAAUAAUGCACUACGACCUCUUGUGUUUUGUCACGCAUUUAGAGACAUAAUGUGACUGAUCCUAGCUUCUUUGUGGGGUUUAAUGUCCCAAAAUAACUCGUGGUUUAUGAGAGAUGCUGUAGUAGAGGAUUAACUUCGGCCACUUGGGGUUCUUUAGUACACAUCCAAAGCACUGUCAAUGAGUGUUUUUGCAUAUCACCCUCUUCAUAAAGGGGCCUGAAAUUGAACAUGCAACCUUGUGCUUAGCAGCAGAAUGCCAUUUUAGAAUUCCUUGAGUACUGCUUGGCCCUGAAUGCAGUCAAACAACAUGCCCACGUGAAAACUAGUUAAGAUAUAAAUAGCCGUAGCUAACAUAAUUGUGAGCUUGUUGGUAAUCAUUGUGCAAUUUCUGAUGCCCAUUGCCGCAAAUGAUGCGUGGGCAGAAAAUUUUCUAGAUACCUGUGAACUUCAUUCUCUGAAGUCUCUGUCAACACCCACUGUGCCUACUGCUUAACGAAUGUAGUGAAAUAUUAUAACAAAUGCAGGUACAGUUAUGUAUUCCUCUGGUUGAACUGCCAAAACUGCAAACAUCCCCAAUAUGAAAUAUAGUCGCAGCAUGCUUGUUGUAGAAUAUCUGAUAUAACACUGGUAAUUUUGUGUCCAAUGCAACUUCGUUAUAGCAAGGUUUCACUGUAGUUCAGCGGAGUUCUGAGGUACUAUUGCAACCAGCCUCGGAACCUUAUUAACUGAGCCUUCAUUGCAGUCAUUGCCUGGCCGGACUUUUUUUUUUGGUGCCGGAUCCCAUUUCCUCUUCUUCAACACGCAUGUUGCAGCAAUGCAUUGCCUAUGUUAAACUGAAAGCCACAUAUAGUGAACUCCAAGCACAUACUGGCACUGCCUAAUUAGGUCUAAUUUCGUUGCUCUCAACAGCUUUGGUAGUUAGUGCCUUCAACUCUUUGAUCAUGAGCUGUCUUAGUCGACAAGUAAAAUGUUCAGCCUUAUCUUUCAAGUGCGGUUAAUUGAUCACACAUUUGUUGCACCUUGUCGAAAUGUUUUGCACUUACCAUUAUUGGCUCUAAACAGUUACUCUCACCUUAAAGUUAUUCACAAAGUGUAGGGAAUCCCCAACAAUUGCUAAAGUGUUUUUCUUAUUCCCCCAAAAAUGCCAUUGAGUCUGUCCUGGCACUGGACCCACUGAUGCUGCAUUACCACAUGAUAUGCUUAUUCACUGGCAGGCUUUAUGUGUGAAGGCAUGUUUCCAUUAAUUAUUUUUAUGUGCGAUAAUUUCUUGGAAUAUUUUUUCUAAUUUUUUUAAACAUUAUGUACACGUGUGGCACCAUUGUGAAAAAAAAAAUGCAGGAGCAAUUUCAAUGUCGCCGUACUGAUGCAAGAAAUGGGAUGCUUUUUUUCAGUGAUCACUAAGAUAUUGUUUUCUUGCCCUUGGUGUGCGACGAACCCAUGUGUAAAAUUGACAGUGAAAAAAAAGUUUUAUUUCACGCAAGUUUUAAAAUACUGUAUAUAGUAGCACCUCUCCAAUGCAUUGUUCAUAAGCUCACAGGCUGACAGAAAUAGAGGAAGACGUAUUACCUGAACAUGUUGAAAUGAGGCUUCAGUGACCUUGUGAUCAUGAAAGCAUUAGUGAGGUGCAUUUUAGCUAGGUUGUACUGCACGGUGAACAAUUUUUCACGGGUUGUAUGGGUCGUUAAAAGUUGGUUUGACAUUACGGUAAGAUCUCCACCAGAAUCACAAAGGAUUGAAGUAUUUGUUUCAUUUACCAGCAGUUCUUUAGCUGCAAUAAUUAUGUGAGGAAUAUAGAAGGGCACUUAUUUUCGUCAGUGUGCAGUCUUUGUUGAUGUUGGUAAAUGGAUAUAGCAAGCGUAAUUUUAAAUAUUUGGAAAUUUUUAAGUGCAGAUAAAUGUCAGCUUUUGUUUAUUCACAUGGGUUUGGGACUUCUUGCAGAGAAUCCUUGUUCAGUUGUUCUUUGCUGUAGUGCAUCUCAUUGCAAGUGGAAAUUUGGUUCAGCCAAGUGGUUCCUAAGUGCACUGCGCAUUUGCUUUGGAAUGUUGCACAGGUGACAUGUUCAGCCUGUGAAGUUGACUAAUGAGAAUUUUGUCGAUGACAUUUGCUUCUGUUCUCUAGUUUCUGACAUGUGACUGAUUUUUCGAGUGCAGCCUUGCAUUGUUCUCUUGAAUGUGCUUGAAUAAUGAUGACUCUAACAUGCUGAUUUUAUCUCAUUAUCAGACUUCAUGGGCUCUUAUUUGCUUCAUCAUUCACAAUACAUGAACAUAUCUAAAUCUUUGUGCUUCCUUCAUGAACCUGACCUGCCUUUGUUAAGAUCUGUGUAAGCUGAACCUUGCGCUACCAUUGUAUAUUCGUGUACUUUUAGCAUGGUAAAUUUUGACUUCAUUACCUCGUUUGCAAUGGCUAUUUUUGUCAGCACUUCACUAUUCUGCACAUGCCAUACUUAAAAUCAAACAUUUGAACUGAUAUGGGGCGUGUAUUUGAGCCACCUUCUUCCUUAUGGUACCCUUUCCUAUGGCCACAUAGUAUGUUCCAGAGCAUAGAUGAACUCUUAACUACCGCUCAUGCAAGUGUAACAAAAACGUUAGAAAAGAAAGGAGGCAUUUCUUUCAUUACAUUGUUGUACUUGUGCAUCAUUGCUUUUGUGUGAAGAAAGUACUGCAACACAGAACAAUAUCAUUCAUUAAAUUGUUGAACCGGCCUGAAAUUGCAUAUAAAUAGAUCUGCAUGUGUGAGCAUGCACCGUCACGUUAUCUGCCGAAGAGAUUUCACUUUUGUUACACGCAAGUCACGAUAAAGUGCAAAUUGACUUUUUCCAUUGUUAGUAUAGCUAGUUUUUGAUCUGCCAUCUCUUUUUCCUUUGUUCUUUGAGUAUUGACAGGUUUGGCCUUGUAAAUAAAUGUUAUCACUUUGAAGCCA
Long non-coding RNA from Dermacentor silvarum, 4572 nucleotides. RefSeq lists it as uncharacterized. The transcript has 2 exons. NCBI's taxonomy places the organism in Eukaryota, Metazoa, Arthropoda, Arachnida, Ixodida, Ixodidae. The record is from RefSeq and is a predicted model, not a curated record.